RNAcentral lists this transfer RNA (57 nucleotides) under Cylicocyclus radiatus. RNAcentral's name for it is "tRNA-Tyr". Lineage: Eukaryota; Metazoa; Nematoda; Chromadorea; Rhabditida; Strongylidae. The record is from RNAcentral.
AAGAAUGUAGUUUAAAUUAAAAAUAUUAGAUUGUAAAUCUAAAGUUGGUUAUUCUUG